Molecule: long non-coding RNA, 2528 nt
Organism: Oncorhynchus nerka (sockeye salmon)
Lineage: Eukaryota; Metazoa; Chordata; Actinopteri; Salmoniformes; Salmonidae
Exons: 3
Source: RefSeq, a predicted model, not a curated record
GUUGGGGUAGCCAGGAGGAAAGCAUGGGCAGCCAUAGAGAAAUGGUUAUUGACAUUUUCGAUUAUGUUGAAAUGUUGUAGUUGGGGAUGGAAAUUUCAGAAUUUUUGGUUCCUAAGCCAUGAUUCAGACACGGCAAAGACAUCAGGGUUAGCAGAGUGUGCUAAAGCAGUGAGUAAAACAAACUUAGGGAGGAGGCUUCUGAUGUUAACAUGCAUGAAACCAAGGCUUUUUCGAUUACAGAAGACAACAAAUGAGAGUGCCUGGGGACACACAGGGCCUGGGUUAGCCUCCACAUCACCCGAGGAACAGAGGAGUAGGAUGAAGGUACGGCUAAAGGCUAGCAAAACUGGUCGUCGAGUGCAUUGGGGACAAAGAAUAAAAGGAGCAGAUUUUUGGGCAUGGUAGAAUAGAUUCAGUGCAUAAUGUGCAGACAGGGGUAUGGUGGGGUGCGGGUACAGUGGAGGUAAGCCCAGGCCCUGAGUGAUGAUAAGAGAGGUUGCAUCCCUGGAUGUGCUGGUUAUACUGGGUGAGGUCACCGCAUGUGUGGGAGGUGGUACAAAGGAGGAAUCUGAUGCAUGUAGAGUGGGACUAGGGGCUCCACUGUAAACUGAUACAAUGAUAACUAUCCUAAACAACAGUAUACAUGGCAUAAAGCAAUCACAGGUGUUGAUUGGGAGAGCUGAUGCUCUCAACAACAGCUAAUCAGCUAAGACAACAACAGGUAAAAUGGUGUAGGGGGUCGGUUAACUACACACAGGGCCUGAGUUCGAGGCCGACAGAUAAACAUAAUAACAGAUAAACAUAAUAAACAAAGUGGAGUACUGUGAUAAAUGAACAGUCCAGCAGGCAUCAGCUAUGUAGCCAAGUGAUCAUAGGGUCCAGUGAACAGCAAUAGAUGGAGCAGGGAAGCCGCGGCAUAGUUGUUACUACAGUUGCACGUGGGAGACACGGCAUUUAAAGUUAGAAGGCCGGGGUAAGGAGAAGCGUCUGCGCCGACGUCCAACAAAGGCCGGUUGAAGGCACAGCGGAUGGAAAUACGUCUGCAGACCAGUCGUAGUGGUACGGCGGGGCCCCGUGUCGACGAAGGGACCGGAGAAAGAGGUAUUGCUAGCCGGGAGAUGCGCCUGGCUCAGGGCUAGCUUUUGGGCUGGGUCACUUGGUGGCUUGAUGAUCACGUGCUUUUACGCCUGCACUGUUUGCUGUUUGGUGUUUUAGGCUGUUUCUGUACAGCACUUUGUGACAUCAGCUGAUGUAAGAAGGGCUAUAUAAAUACAUUUGUUUGUUUGAUUGAUUGAUUGAUUAUUGUGGCAAGCUUGUGGAAGGCUACCCAAAACGUUUCACCCAAGUAAAAAAAAAAUGUAAAGGCAAUGCUAUCAAAUACUAAUUGAGUGUAUGUAAACUUCUGACCCACAGGGAAUGUGAUGAAAGAAAUAAAAGCUGAAAUAAAUCAUUCUCUCUACUAUUAUUCUGACAUUUCAUAUUCUUAAAAUAAAGUGUGAUCCUAACUGACCGAAGACAGGUAAUUUUUACAAAGAUUAAAUGGCAGGAAUUGUGAAAAACUGAAUUUAAAUGUAUUUGGCUAAGGUGUAUGUAAACUUCCGACUUCAACUGUAUGUGUGUGAGUGUGAGUGUGUGUGUGUGUAUAUUUUCAUUUUGUUAUUUUAUUUCCAUGCCCAACAUAAUUCAAUCUCCAACUGCAGUUCCAGCUCCCAUUCCAUCUCCAGCAGUCCUAGUGUUGUCCAUGUCUCUACCCAGGCUGCUGUGUAGUCUACUGGUGGGGUCUCCCUACCUGCUGGUCACCAUCAUACUGAUGGUGAAAGGCUGCAGGAGCAGGACUCAAGGGUAAACCAGGAUACCCAGGAAGACCCACCAAGACCAAUUAGGUGAUUGUGUUGAAGAAGAGUGAGGCUGAGUUCACCUGAUCACCAUAACAACCAUCAGAAUGGAACUCAUGGAAUUCUAAUAUAGAACUGUGAGUCACAAUGCUGUAUGUUGUUACAUUGUAGCUCCACCUGCUGGAACAAUAGUGGCAUUUGAUCAAAUGUGAUCUAUUAACUGAUACAUGUAUUAUUCUGAUUGGAAUGUGUUUUAAUAUAAUGUGUGUUGUAUUAAUCAUUCAGCAGCUGUCCUUUAACAUCAGUCAUAUACUGGUCAUAUACUGUGUAGCAUUAUGGUUGAUACAUUGUAAAUGCCUUCACUUCUCAUGUCUAUACAGAUCAACUGAUAGGUGUUGUGGUUCAGGCAUUAUUGUUACAGGUUCAGUAUAAUGUUAUACAGUUACAUGUUACAGAGAUAGAAAACAUACAGGAGAGGAGAAUUCAGUUAUUACAAUUAUUUACUUUAUUUUCCCAUUUUGGUCUCUAGAAUAGUGCAGCAUAAUUUUAUUUUAUUUAAACAUGAAACUAAUGUAGGCCUUUUGAUUUAUUGUGGUUGUUUUGUGCAAAACCAUUAUUUUUCAAUGAAUCAUUGAGGAAAGAUAUUGCUUUUGUCUUUGUAGCAAAUAUAAUUAAAUAAGUGAUUUUCCUCAA